GGGAGGGGGGAUCGCGGGGGUGACGUGCGCCGAGAGGCUGGCUACAGAGUUUCCCUCUGAGGAUAUUUUACUGAUUACAGCAUCUCCGGUUAUAAAAAAAGUAAUAAACUUCAGACAGAUUUCCAGAGCUUUAGAAGAAUUUGACGUUGAGGAACAAGCAAGCAGCGUGUUGGAGAGAUGCUACCCUAACAUUAAAGUUAUCCAGUCUGGAGUGAAACAAUUGAAAAGCGAUGAGCAUAAAGUAAUCACAGAAGACGGCAAGGAGUACGCGUAUGAGAAGCUUUGCCUGUGCGCUGGAGCCAAGCCGAAAUUAAUCACCGAAGGAAACCGUUUUGUGUUGGGCAUUCGGGAU
Gekko japonicus is the source of this 352-nucleotide long non-coding RNA. RefSeq lists it as uncharacterized. Lineage: Eukaryota; Metazoa; Chordata; Lepidosauria; Squamata; Gekkonidae. The record is from RefSeq and is a predicted model, not a curated record. The transcript is spliced from 4 exons.